RNAcentral lists this ribosomal RNA (749 nucleotides) under uncultured Alteromonadales bacterium. RNAcentral's name for it is "bacterial SSU rRNA". It matches the Rfam family "Bacterial small subunit ribosomal RNA", at positions 8 to 748 of the family's 1533-position model. The record is from RNAcentral. Lineage: Bacteria; Pseudomonadati; Pseudomonadota; Gammaproteobacteria; Alteromonadales.
AGAGUUUGAUCAUGGCUCAGAUUGAACGCUGGCGGCAGGCUUAACACAUGCAAGUCGAGCGGUAACAGGGGGAGCUUGCUCCCCGCUGGCGAGCGGCGGACGGGUGAGUAAUGCUUAGGAAUCUGCCUGGUAGUGGGGGAUAGCCCGGGGAAACCCGGAUUAAUACCGCAUACGUCCUACGGGAGAAAGCAGGGGAUCUUCGGACCUUGCGCUAUCGGAUGAGCCUAAGUCGGAUUAGCUAGUUGGUGGGGUAAAGGCCUACCAAGGCGACGAUCCGUAGCUGGUCUGAGAGGAUGAUCAGCCACAUCGGGACUGAGACACGGCCCGAACUCCUACGGGAGGCAGCAGUGGGGAAUAUUGGACAAUGGGGGAAACCCUGAUCCAGCCAUGCCGCGUGUGUGAAGAAGGCUUUCGGGUUGUAAAGCACUUUCAGUGAGGAGGAAGGCUCAAAGGCUAAUACCCUUUGGGAUUGACGUUACUCACAGAAGAAGCACCGGCUAACUCCGUGCCAGCAGCCGCGGUAAUACGGAGGGUGCAAGCGUUAAUCGGAAUUACUGGGCGUAAAGCGCGCGUAGGCGGUUUGAUAAGCGAGAUGUGAAAGCCCCGGGCUCAACCUGGGAACGGCAUUUCGAACUGUCAGGCUAGAGUAUGGUAGAGGGUAGUGGAAUUUCCUGUGUAGCGGUGAAAUGCGUAGAUAUAGGAAGGAACACCAGUGGCGAAGGCGGCUACCUGGACCAAUACUGACGCUG